This 43-nucleotide transfer RNA is filed under the name Diadema antillarum. RNAcentral's name for it is "partial tRNA-Lys". The record is from RNAcentral. Lineage: Eukaryota; Metazoa; Echinodermata; Echinoidea; Diadematoida; Diadematidae.
ACUCUUAAUUUAAAAGACAGUAGUUAAACUCUACUAUUAAGGA